Molecule: ribosomal RNA, 1380 nt
Filed under: uncultured bacterium
Lineage: Bacteria
Description: bacterial SSU rRNA
Rfam family: Bacterial small subunit ribosomal RNA
Source: RNAcentral
CCGGCUCAGGAUGAACGCUAGCUACAGGCUUAACACAUGCAAGUCGAGGGGCAGCAUGGUCUUAGCUUGCUAAGGCCGGUGGCGACCGGCGCACGGGUGAGUAACACGUAUCCAACCUGCCGUCUACUCUUGGACAGCCUUCUGAAAGGAAGAUUAAUACAAGAUGGCAUCAUGAGUCCGCAUGUUCACAUGAUUAAAGGUAUUCCGGUAGACGAUGGGGAUGCGUUCCAUUAGAUAGUAGGCGGGGUAACGGCCCACCUAGUCUUCGAUGGAUAGGGGUUCUGAGAGGAAGGUCCCCCACAUUGGAACUGAGACACGGUCCAAACUCCUACGGGAGGCAGCAGUGAGGAAUAUUGGUCAAUGGGCGAGAGCCUGAACCAGCCAAGUAGCGUGAAGGAUGACUGCCCUAUGGGUUGUAAACUUCUUUUAUAAAGGAAUAAAGUCGGGUAUGGAUACCCGUUUGCAUGUACUUUAUGAAUAAGGAUCGGCUAACUCCGUGCCAGCAGCCGCGGUAAUACGGAGGAUCCGAGCGUUAUCCGGAUUUAUUGGGUUUAAAGGGAGCGUAGAUGGAUGUUUAAGUCAGUUGUGAAAGUUUGCGGCUCAACCGUAAAAUUGCAGUUGAUACUGGAUAUCUUGAGUGCAGUUGAGGCAGGCGGAAUUCGUGGUGUAGCGGUGAAAUGCUUAGAUAUCACGAAGAACUCCGAUUGCGAAGGCAGCCUGCUAAGCUGCAACUGACAUUGAGGCUCGAAAGUGUGGGUAUCAAACAGGAUUAGAUACCCUGGUAGUCCACACGGUAAACGAUGAAUACUCGCUGUUUGCGAUAUACAGCAAGCGGCCAAGCGAAAGCGUUAAGUAUUCCACCUGGGGAGUACGCCGGCAACGGUGAAACUCAAAGGAAUUGACGGGGGCCCGCACAAGCGGAGGAACAUGUGGUUUAAUUCGAUGAUACGCGAGGAACCUUACCCGGGCUUAAAUUGCAGAUGAAUUACGGUGAAAGCCGUAAGCCGCAAGGCAUCUGUGAAGGUGCUGCAUGGUUGUCGUCAGCUCGUGCCGUGAGGUGUCGGCUUAAGUGCCAUAACGAGCGCAACCCUUGUUGUCAGUUACUAACAGGUUCCGCUGAGGACUCUGACAAGACUGCCAUCGUAAGAUGUGAGGAAGGUGGGGAUGACGUCAAAUCAGCACGGCCCUUACGUCCGGGGCUACACACGUGUUACAAUGGGGGGUACAGAGGGCCGCUACCACGCGAGUGGAUGCCAAUCCCCAAAACCUCUCUCAGUUCGGACUGGAGUCUGCAACCCGACUCCACGAAGCUGGAUUCGCUAGUAAUCGCGCAUCAGCCACGGCGCGGUGAAUACGUUCCCGGGCCUUGUACACACCGCC